UGGGGAAUUUUGGACAAUGGGGGCAACCCUGAUCCAGCAAUGCCGCGUGAGUGAAGAAGGCCUUCGGGUUGUAAAGCUCUUUUGUCAGGGAAGAAACGGGCUGGGCUAAUACCCUGGUUUAAUGACGGUACCUGAAGAAUAAGCACCGGCUAACUACGUGCCAGCAGCCGCGGUAAUACGUAGGGUGCGAGCGUUAAUCGGAAUUACUGGGCGUAAAGCGUGCGCAGGCGGUUGUGCAAGACAGAUGUGAAAUCCCCGGGCUUAACCUGGGAAUGGCAUUUGUGACUGCACGGCUAGAGUGUGUCAGAGGGGGGUAGAAUUCCACGUGUAGCAGUGAAAUGCGUAGAUAUGUGGAGGAAUACCGAUGGCGAAGGCAGCCCCCUGGGAUAACACUGACGCUCAUGCACGAAAGCGUGGGGAGCAAACAG
RNAcentral lists this ribosomal RNA (428 nucleotides) under uncultured bacterium. RNAcentral describes it as "bacterial SSU rRNA". It matches the Rfam family "Bacterial small subunit ribosomal RNA", at positions 355 to 775 of the family's 1533-position model. The record is from RNAcentral.